Zootoca vivipara (common lizard) is the source of this 563-nucleotide long non-coding RNA. RefSeq lists it as uncharacterized. The record is from RefSeq and is a predicted model, not a curated record. NCBI's taxonomy places the organism in Eukaryota, Metazoa, Chordata, Lepidosauria, Squamata, Lacertidae.
CCCGCUGCCCCACCUGCCAGGGUGAAGCCACCCCAUUCCCUCAGUGGCCUUUGCCUUCCCUCCAGCCAUAGAAGGGUGGGAGCUGAGAUGCAGCUCAGCCUUCCCAGGUCUCUGGAGAGAGCAAUGCUUGCUCCCCAAGCCAACCCCAAACACUUAACAGUUUGCCGACCCACACCUACUUUCUCCUACAGGGCUGCAUAGGAGCAGUGACCGGCUACGAGGACUUUUAUUCCUGUCGCCCAGCCAGUCUUUCAGAAUUUCACCAUGGAUGAACUGGCUAAUGCAAACACACAUUUUGCCCUUGAUCUGUUCCAAAAGUUCAAUGAAUCCAACCCAACAGGCAACAUCUUCUUUUCACCCUUUAGCAUAUCUAUUGCCCUAGCUAUGAUUUUCUUGGGGACCAAGGGAAAAACAGCAGCACAGCUCUCAAAGACAUUUCACUUUGAUGAUGUUGAAGACCUUCAUUCAAGAUUCCAGGCAUUCAAUACUGAGAUUAAUAGUAGUGCACCCUAUACUGUAUAUUGAAGCUCGCUAAUAAGCUGCACAGAGAAAAGACAUGCACC